Gossypium raimondii (Peruvian cotton) is the source of this 581-nucleotide long non-coding RNA. RefSeq lists it as uncharacterized. The transcript is spliced from 3 exons. Lineage: Eukaryota; Viridiplantae; Streptophyta; Magnoliopsida; Malvales; Malvaceae. The record is from RefSeq and is a predicted model, not a curated record.
UAAAAUGUCUAGAAGAAAAGUGCGAGAGCUAAGCAUUCUUCAAGGGACUCCAAACUCGGCGGAAACAAACAGCACUGAACAACAGACUGCUAUUGGAUCUUCGAAUGUUCCGAUUACACCAAAGGAACCUACAGAAGUUGAAACUGAAAAUGGUGGGACGCGGAGAGUUCGAGGACGUACGCUACUGAGGGAUUAAUACGAGCUAGAUCCAGUCGAGCGUGUCAAAGUAUCCAGUAAUAGCUUUGGUCAGCCUGUUGGAUCAGAAGCUCGCCUUUUAGCAGGAUACUUGGGCAUUCUAGCACGGAAUGCAAAUAUGUUGCCAAUUAACUUCGAGUCAUGGCAUAAAAUGCCCGAGAGUAACAAGAACCAAGCUCUCGAUAACAUUAAGGCGAGAUUUGCUCUAGAUGUCUCUGAUGCUUAUGUAAAGAAGGCAUUGGGAAAAAGAUGGAGAGACCAUAAGAGCACUUUAAAGAAAGACUAUUUUAAGAGAAAAACAACACUCGACGAGAAAUUACAAAAUGUCCCGCCGGGAAUGCUGAGGUACCAGUGGGAAGAGGUCGUUAGAUUUUGGACUUCGAAGA